RNAcentral lists this ribosomal RNA (119 nucleotides) under Rodentolepis nana. The record is from RNAcentral. Lineage: Eukaryota; Metazoa; Platyhelminthes; Cestoda; Cyclophyllidea; Hymenolepididae.
GUCAGCGACCAUGCCACAUAGAAGGCACCGGUUUUCGUCCGAUAACCGAAGUUAAACAAGGUCGGGUAGGGUUAGUAUUUGAAUGGGUGACUGGCUGGGAAUACCCGGUGUUGAUGACU